This 299-nucleotide ribosomal RNA is filed under the name uncultured bacterium. RNAcentral describes it as "partial 16S ribosomal RNA". It matches the Rfam family "Bacterial small subunit ribosomal RNA", at positions 333 to 643 of the family's 1533-position model. The record is from RNAcentral.
UCUAUCCUACGGGACGCAGCAGUCGAGAAUCAUUCACAAUGGGGGAAACCCUGAUGGUGCGACGCCGCGUGGGGGAAUGAAGGUCUUCGGAUUGUAAACCCCUGUCAUGUGGGAGCAAAUUAAAAAGAUAGUACCACAAGAGGAAGAGACGGCUAACUCUGUGCCAGCAGCCGCGGUAAUACAGGGGUCUCAAGCGUUGUUCGGAAUCACUGGGCGUAAAGCGUGCGUAGGCUGUUUCGUAAGUCGUGUGUGAAAGGCGCGGGCUCAACCCGCGGACGGCACCUGAUACUGCGAGACUA